This 195-nucleotide ribosomal RNA is filed under the name uncultured Planctomycetota bacterium. RNAcentral describes it as "uncultured planctomycete partial 16S ribosomal RNA". It matches the Rfam family "Bacterial small subunit ribosomal RNA", at positions 335 to 523 of the family's 1533-position model. The record is from RNAcentral. Lineage: Bacteria; Pseudomonadati; Planctomycetota.
ACCCCUACGGGAGGCAGCAGUCGAGAAUCUUCCGCAAUGGGCGAAAGCCUGACGGAGCGACGCCGCGUGUAGGACGAAGGCCCUAGGGUUGUAAACUACUGUCACGAGUUAUGAAUGGCGUAGUAUGAAUAGUGCUGCGUUUGACGUAAGCUUGAGAGGAAGCACCGGCUAACUCUGUGCCAGCAGCCGCGGUAA